AUUGAACGCUGGCGGCAGGCCUAACACAUGCAAGUCGAGCGGAUGAAGGGAGCUUGCUCCUGGAUUCAGCGGCGGACGGGUGAGUAAUGCCUAGGAAUCUGCCUGGUAGUGGGGGAUAACGUCCGGAAACGGGCGCUAAUACCGCAUACGUCCUGAGGGAGAAAGUGGGGGAUCUUCGGACCUCACGCUAUCAGAUGAGCCUAGGUCGGAUUAGCUAGUUGGUGGGGUAAAGGCCUACCAAGGCGACGAUCCGUAACUGGACUGAGAGGAUGAUCAGUCACACUGGAACUGAGACACGGUCCAGACUCCUACGGGAGGCAGCAGUGGGGAAUAUUGGACAAUGGGCGAAAGCCUGAUCCAGCCAUGCCGCGUGUGUGGAGAAGGUCUUCGGAUUGUAAAGCACUUUAAGUUGGGAGGAAGGGCAGUAAGUUAAUACCUUGCUGUUUUGACGUUACCAACAGAAUAAGCACCGGCUAACUUCGUG
Molecule: ribosomal RNA, 484 nt
Filed under: uncultured bacterium
Lineage: Bacteria
Description: partial 16S ribosomal RNA
Rfam family: Bacterial small subunit ribosomal RNA
Source: RNAcentral